Molecule: ribosomal RNA, 253 nt
Filed under: uncultured bacterium
Lineage: Bacteria
Description: partial 16S ribosomal RNA
Rfam family: Bacterial small subunit ribosomal RNA
Source: RNAcentral
UACGGGGGGGGCAAGCGUUGUUCGGAAUUACUGGGCGUAAAGGGCUCGUAGGUGGCCAACUAAGUCAGACGUGAAAUCCCUCGGCUUAACCGGGGAACUGCGUCUGAUACUGGAUGGCUUGAGUUUGGGAGAGGGAUGCGGAAUUCCAGGUGUAGCGGUGAAAUGCGUAGAUAUCAGGAGGAACACCUGUGGUGGAGACAGCUUACUGGACCACUUCUGACGCUGAGACACGAAAGCGUGGGUAGCAAACAGG